GAUAAAUUGAUACAUACCGUUCUUCAAGCAAGUCAAGGUUUUACCUUUGCCUUUUAUUGGAAUCUUUGAUUCAUCUCCAAAAGUAAUAUUGCCACUUACUGAUUCAUCAAGCUCCAAGAACAUGUUUCUUCUUCUGUGCAUAUGGUUGCCUGCUCCCGCGUCCAAAUACUAAGUAUUCUUUUCUCUAUUUUCUUCACCUUUGUAAGCCAACAAUAGUGUAGAAUCCAUUUCAUUUUCCUAAACGGAAAAGUUGGAAUUCUCCUUAAUUUGGUUAAUAACAUUUCUACAUUGUGAAGUAUAAAUACCAAGUUUUUGACAAUUGUAACAUUUAAAUUGAGAUUUGUCAUAUCUUGGCCUUUCAUUUUGCAUCAUAACUCUUCUUUUUCCACAAUCUCUAGUGAAAAAUGAGCUCUUGUUCUUUCCUCCUUGUAGAAUGCACUUCUUCCUCGAUCUUAGCUACAUCAUCUUCCUCUUCGGCUUCUCCUAUUGCCGAAUCUUCCUUCACCCUCAUUCAAGGCGAGUUUUGUUUGAAGAGUUUGCUCUAAUGGCUCUUCUUUCACCUUCUUCUUAAGUCUUUCUUCAUGGGCAUGUAAAGAUCCCAUGAGUUGAUUGACACUCGUACUAUCUAGAUCUUCAAAUUCUUCAAUGGAUACAACUAUGUAGUCAAAUUUAG
This 673-nucleotide long non-coding RNA is filed under the name Olea europaea subsp. europaea. Lineage: Eukaryota; Viridiplantae; Streptophyta; Magnoliopsida; Lamiales; Oleaceae. The record is from RNAcentral.